GUGGGGAAUAUUGGACAAUGGGCGCAAGCCUGAUCCAGCCAUGCCGCGUGAGUGAUGAAGGCCUUAGGGUUGUAAAGCUCUUUCGUCAGGGAAGAUAAUGACGGUACCUGAAGAAGAAGCCCCGGCUAACUUCGUGCCAGCAGCCGCGGUAAUACGAAGGGGGCUAGCGUUGCUCGGAAUCACUGGGCGUAAAGCGCACGUAGGCGGUUUUCUAAGUCAGGGGUGAAAUCCUGGAGCUCAACUACAGAACUGCCUUUGAUACUGGAGAGCUUGAGUUCGGGAGAGGUGAGUGGAACUGCGAGUGUAGAGGUGAAAUUCGUAGAUAUUCGCAAGAACACCAGUGGCGAAGGCGGCUCACUGGCCCGAUACUGACGCUGAGGCGCGAAAGCGUGGGGAGCAAACAGGAUUAGAUACCCGUGUAGUCC
Molecule: ribosomal RNA, 425 nt
Filed under: uncultured bacterium
Lineage: Bacteria
Description: partial 16S ribosomal RNA
Rfam family: Bacterial small subunit ribosomal RNA
Source: RNAcentral